GAUGAACGCUGGCGGCGUGCCUAAUACAUGCAAGUCGAGCGAACGGACGAGAAGCUUGCUUUUCUGAUGUUAGCGGCGGACGGGUGAGUAACACGUGGAUAACCUACCUAUAAGACUGGGAUAACUUCGGGAAACCGGAGCUAAUACCGGCUAAUAUUUUGAACCGCAUGGUUCAAAAGUGAAUGACGGUCUUGCUGUCACUUAUAGAUGGAUCCGCGCUGCAUUAGCUAGUUGGUAAGGUAACGGCUUACCAAGGCGACGAUGCAUAGCCGACCUGAGAGGAUGAUCAGCCACACUGGAACUGAGACACGGUCCAGACUCCUACGGGAGGCAGCAGUGGGGAAUCUUCGGCAAUGGGCGAAAGCCUGACGGAGCAACGCCGCGUGGGUGAUGAAGGUCUUCGGGUCGUAAAGCUCUGUUGUUGGGGAAGAACAGAUGUAUGAGUAACUGUGCACGUCUUGACGGUACCUAAUCAGAAAGCCACGGCUAACUACGUG
RNAcentral lists this ribosomal RNA (497 nucleotides) under uncultured bacterium. RNAcentral describes it as "partial 16S ribosomal RNA". It matches the Rfam family "Bacterial small subunit ribosomal RNA", at positions 28 to 507 of the family's 1533-position model. The record is from RNAcentral.